Molecule: ribosomal RNA, 497 nt
Filed under: uncultured bacterium
Lineage: Bacteria
Description: partial 16S ribosomal RNA
Rfam family: Bacterial small subunit ribosomal RNA
Source: RNAcentral
GAUGAACGCUGGCGGCGUGCCUAAUACAUGCGAGUCGAGCGAACGGACGAGAAGCUUGCUUCUCUGAUGUUAGCGGCGGACGGGUGAGUAACACGUGGAUAACCUACCUAUAAGACUGGGAUAACUUCGGGAAACCGGAGCUAAUACCGGAUAAUAUUUUGAACCGCAUGGUUCAAAAGUGAAAGACGGUCUUGCUGUCACUUAUAGAUGGAUCCGCGCUGCAUUAGCUAGUUGGUAAGGUAACGGCUUACCAAGGCAACGAUGCAUAGCCGACCUGAGAGGGUGAUCGGCCACACUGGAACUGAGACACGGUCCUGACUCCUACGGGAGGCAGCAGUAGGGAAUCUUCCGCAAUGGGCGAAAGCCUGACGGAGCAACGCCGCGUGAGUGAUGAAGGUCUUCGGAUCGUAAAACUCUGUUAUUAGGGAAGAACAUAUGUGUAAGUAACUGUGCACAUCUUGACGGUACCUAAUCAGAAAGCCACGGCUAACUACGUG